CCUACGGGGGGCAGCAGUGGGGAAUAUUGGACAAUGGGCGAAAGCCUGAUCCAGCCAUGCCGCGUGUGUGAAGAAGGCCUUCGGGUUGUAAAGCACUUUCAGUGGGGAAGAAAGCCUUGGGGCUAAUACCCUCGAGGAAGGACAUCACCCACAGAAGAAGCACCGGCUAACUCCGUGCCAGCAGCCGCGGUAAAACGGAGGGUGCGAGCGUUAAUCGGAAUUACUGGGCGUAAAGCGCGCGUAGGCGGUCUGAUAAGCCGGUUGUGAAAGCCCCGGGCUCAACCUGGGAACGGCAUCCGGAACUGUCAGGCUAGAGUGCAGGAGAGGAAGGUAGAAUUCCCGGUGUAGCGGUGAAAUGCGUAGAGAUCGGGAGGAAUACCAGUGGCGAAGGCGGCCUUCUGGACUGACACUGACGCUGAGGUGCGAAAGCGUGGGUAGCAAACAGGAUUAGAUACCCUGGUAGUC
Molecule: ribosomal RNA, 465 nt
Filed under: Vreelandella stevensii
Lineage: Bacteria; Pseudomonadati; Pseudomonadota; Gammaproteobacteria; Oceanospirillales; Halomonadaceae
Description: partial 16S ribosomal RNA
Rfam family: Bacterial small subunit ribosomal RNA
Source: RNAcentral